GCCCCCUUUUUAAAACCCUAAUGCUCUCAAACUCUCCCUAUUUCCCUUUUUCUUUUCAACCGAAUGGCUCUCAAAUACCACCACUCUCGUCACACACGCCGCCGUAGACAAACAACAGAGGGUCGAAGAACCCCUCUUGCGAGGCGAAUCGAGAAGUACUCACCCUUUCCCCUUUUAUUUCGUAUUUUCGGAUUUGAAUGGAAAUGAAAAUAAAGCGAAAGAACAGGAAAAAGAAAAUCAUAAAUAACCACCUUAGAAAUGUUUUCUUGGUUGCUCUUUACUCUCUUUUUUGGUAUAUUUUGUAUUUCAAAAAAAAACAUUUACAAUUAAAAAUCAAAGGCUUUAUAGCCAAAAUACAAGUAGUUUUUGUUGUUUUCUUGUCCAACUUGCAGGCCGUGAAGUUGUGGAGAACGAAGGGCAUGGAGUAUGAGCGCAAACAUGGAGCAGGGUACACAGGGAUCGUGUAUGGAGUGCCAACGUGGGGGUUGCAGCAUGGGUGACCUAGGUUUCCCUAGGUUAGCCGAUUAGAUUUAGAUUUUGGGCCAUGGGUAUGGGGCCUGUCUCAUGUAAUUGGGUUAAUUUCAUUUUGGGUUUUGGGUUUGUAUUUGGACAUUUAAUAUUUUGUUUUAUUAUUUGGUUUUUGUAUGUGGAUGGGCCUAGGACAAAAUUGGGUCUUACAACUGCCCCUCUUUGCCCAUUGUUGUGUAACGAGAAAAGAGCAAAGACCCUAAAAGGACCAAUUUUGUCCGGUCUGGCCGAAUCUUUGACUUCUUUGGUGCUCCUCUUCUUCAAGUAGUCUUAUAGUAACUUUAGGAAGAUAAGAUUUGUGACUUCAACCUGCUCCACUACAACUUUAGGGAGACAAAGUCGGUGGCUAAAAUCUGCUCCAUAGCCGAUACAUGGAGAUAAGACUCACCAUCUUCGAUCUGCUCCAUAGCCGAUACAUAGAGAUAAGAUCUGUAAUUUUCAGUCUGCUUCCUACAACUUCAGGAAGAUAAGACUUGUAUAUUCAACCUGCUCUCUGUAACUUCAGAGAGAUAAGGCUGAUGGCUAAAAUCUACUUCAUAGCCGAUACAUGGAGAUAAUACUCGCCAUUUUUGAUCUACUCCAUAGCCGAUACAUGGAGAUAAGAUCUGCAAUUUUCAGUCUGCUUCCUGCAAUUUCAAGAAGAUAAGACUUGCAUAUUGAGCCUGCUCCACUGCAACUUUAGAGGGAUAAGGCUGGUGGCUAAAAUCUGCUCCAUAGCCGAUACAUGGAGAUAAGACUCGCCAUUUUUGAUCUGUUCCAUAGCCGAUACAUGGAGAUAAGAUAUGUAAUUUUCAGUCUGCUUCUUGCAACUUCAGGAAGAUAAGACUUGUAUCUUCAACCUGCUCUCUUGUUAACUCAGAGAGAUAAGGCUGAUGGUUAAAAUCUGCUCCAUAGCCGAUACAUGGAGAUAAGACUCGCCAUUUUUGAUCUGCCUCAUAACCGAUACAUGGAGAUAAGAUCUGUAAUUUUUAGUCUACUUCUUGCAACUUCAGGAAGAUAAGACUUGUAUCUUCAACCUGCUCUCUUGCUACCUCAAAGAGAUAAGGCUGGUGGCUAAAAUCUGCUCCAUAGCCGAUACAUGGAGAUAAGACUUGCCAUUUUUGAUCUGCCCUAUAGCCGAUACAUGGAGAUAAGAUCUGUAAUUUUCACCGAUGUCGCUACACUAUCCUCUGGGAAACAUGCCCUGCAGACUCGGUUUCAUGUCUAUGUUUAUGCCAAAUGAUUAGGAUACUAUGAACAAAAUUAAUCAGAUGCUCCUAACCAAAUGUGUUAUGAAUGAUAUGAAUGUAAAAAUGAAAAUGAUUUCUUUUUUAAAUGCUUAAAGUGUCAUCACUCAUUAUUAAUCAGAGUUUUAUCACUAUCGUAUUAUGCUGUCUUCUUGCUCAACUAGCAAUUCCCAACAAAAACCUGUAGAAACAACCCAUUUUGCUCAAGUGGUUUGCCCCAUUGCAACUUCAAAGUCUAUUUCACUGUACUUCUAGAACCUAAGGUUUGAAGAAUAUCAUGAUCCCCUUUUAUGCUUUGGCUGUCACCAUAUCCUGUUUUCUUAUUCAAUCAAUAUCCUUGAUCGAAAACCUAAAGAGAUAAUCCCAAUUUGAACACAAAUAUUCCACCCCUAAGCUGGGUAAGUUCUAAACGAUAGUCUUGUUUCAGGUUCUUGUACCAUUUAGAAACUUCUAGAGUAAUAUGCAAAACCUCUUUUGCAAAAGUAUUAUUAGUCCAUUAAUCGUUAUUUCAAUACAAGCACGUGAACAUAAAGAUAAAGAUGGACAAAACUAAAAUUUAUUAGGAACAAGAUUCAAGAAAAAUGGAUUAAUUACAUGUAGCAAAUACUGCUAAAGAACAAAAAUUGGUAAAAGGGGAACAAAAAUGAGCGCCUCAGAUAUCACAGCCUAAGCUCCUCCAUAUGAACUCCAAGAGAACCAUUUUGAGUUUAUCAUGUGUGUAGAAGAUCUAGCGUAUUCUGUCGAUGCCCCAAGACAUGCGUACUUCCUCCUCAUUAAUUCCAGCAUAGCAAGACUACCACCUGCCCUAUCCUUGGUCAAAAUUUGAAUUGCCCUUUUCGGGUUUUCAAUUCAAAACCCCUUUGGUCUCAAUGCGCCCUUUGUGGGUUUUCACCUCGGCCUCUCCUUUUUUUUUAGGUGCCCUUUGCAGGUUUUCACCUCUUAAGCGAAUUACUUCUUGACUGAAUCCGAAUUUACUAGGUUAGGCAGGCCCUUACCAUCUAUCUUAGUUAAUAUCAGUGCUCCUCCAGAAAAAGCCUUCUUUACCACGUAAGGUCCUUCCCAGUUUGGCAUCCAUUUCCCUCUGAAAUCUUUUUGCAUAGGGAGAAUUUGUUACAAUACCAAGUCCCCCUCAUGGAAUACUCUAGGGCAAACCUUUUUGUUGUAAGCUCACAUCAUUCGCCUCUGGUACAUUUGACCAUGACGGAUAGCCUUCAGUCUCUUUUCUUCAAUCAAGUUCAGCUGAUCAUACCGGGACUGAAUCCAUUCUGCUUCGUCUAGCUUCAACUCUGAUAAAACCUGAAGAGAAGGAAUUUCAACUUCAAUGGGCAAAACUGCCUCUAUCCCGUAAACCAAUGGGUAAGGUGUUGCCCCGGUAGAAGUUCUGACAGAUGUUCGAUAGGCAUAAAGAGAAAAUGGUAACUUUUCAUGCCAAUCCUUGUAGGUCUCAGUCAUUUUCCCCAUGAUCUUUUUGAUAUUCUUAUUGGCUGCCUCAACCGCACCAUUCAUUUUUGGGCGAUAAGGUGACGAGUUGUGGUGCUUAAUCUUGAACUACCUGUAGACCUCCACUAUCACGCUGUUAUUCAAAUUCAACGUGUUGUCAGAUAUGAUCCUUUCUAGCAUGCCAUAUCGACAUAUGAUUUCUUUUUUCAAGAACUUGCUGACUGCCGACUUUGUAACGUUGGCAUAUGAAGCAGCCUCUACCCACUUGGUGAAGUAAUCGAUGACCACAAAGAUGAAUCGAUGUCCAUUAGAAGCCUUUGGUGACAUUCGCCCAAUGACAUCCAUGCCCCACAUUGAGAAAGGCCAAUGAGAAGUCAUGACAUGAAGGGGUGAAGGAGGCACGUGGAUCUUGUCACCAUAAAUUUGACACUUAUGGCAUUUGUUGGCAUAGCUGAUGCAAUCUCCUUCCAUUGUGGACCAGUAGUACCCGAAUCUCAUAAUUUGCCUGGCCAUUGUGAACCCAUUUGCAUGCGUCACGCAGACACCUUCAUGGACUUCUUCCAGGAUUUUCUUAGCUUUAACAGCAUCAACACAUUUUAACAGCACCUAAUCCUUCCUCCUUUUAUAUAGGAUUUCUCCAUCUAUGACAUAGUUACUGGCUAGCCUUCUCAACGUCCUCUUAUCAUUUUCAGUUGCCUGAUCAGGAUAUUCACGGCUUUUCACAUAUCAUAAAAUAUCAUGAUACCAAGGAUAAUCAUCUCUCUCUUCUUUGUCGUCUAUACUGUAACAAUGAGCUGAAGCCUCAUAAAUACUCAUCUGGAUCGGCUUCAUAUUCUCUCAUACAUUUACUCUGAUCAUAGAAGCUAACGUAGCCAAAGCAUCUACCAUCUGGUUUUCGUCUUGCGGGAGAUAAUAGAAAGUGAUAUCAUCAAACACCUUACUUAAAUCCCAAACUAGCCCAUGAUAGUUUAUCAACUCUGGGUCUCUUGUUUCCUAUUUACCUUUAAGAUGAUAGAUCACAAGUGCAUAAUCUCCAUACACCUCUAACACCUUGAUUUUACGUUCAAUGGCUGCAUGGAUUUCCAUGAUACAAGCCUCAUACUCUGCCAUAUUAUUUGUGCAAUCAAAAACCAAUUUGCAAGUGAAUGGAUAAUGAUCUUCAUGUGGGGAUAUCAGGACUGCCCCAAUUCCAUUGCCAACAACGUUUGAUGCUCCGGUAAAAUUCAGUUUCCAUGGAUGAUCUUCUGAAAUGUCCUCUUCGGUAGUUCCACAUACAUUAGAUCUUCAUUAGGGAAAUCAAAGUUCAAAGGCUCAUAAUCUUCUAAAGCUCUGCUGGCUAGAAAAUCUACUAUUGCGCUCCCUUUCAUAGCCUUCUGAUUCACAUAAACUAUGUCGAAUUCAGAAAGCAGGAUUUGCCACCGGGUCAUUCUUCCACUUAGAGCAGUCGACUCCGUCAUGUACUUUAGAGGGUCCAGUUUUGAGAAUAAUCAAGUCAUGUGGUAUAACAUGUACUGCCUCAAUCUCCGAGUGGUCCAAACCAAGGCACAACAUAAUUUCUCAAUUGGUGAGUAUCUCAUUUCACACUCAGUGAAUUUCUUACUGAGGUAAUAUAUUGCCCUUUCUUUCUUUCCUGUCUCAUCGUGUUGGCCGAGCACACAUCCCAUUGAAUUAUCAAAUACUGUCGAAUACAGUAUCAAUGACCUACCCGGGCUAGGUGGCGUUAGCACUGGGGGAUUGGUCAAAUAUUGUUUAACCUUGUCAAAGGUUUUCUGGCACUCAUCAUCCCACACACCUGGGUCGUGUUUAUUGAGAAGGUGAAAUAUGAGGUUACAUUUCUCAGUCAGCUGUGAAAUGAAUCAGGCGAUAUAAUUUAGUCUUCCAAGAAAACCUCAAACUUUCUUCUAAAUACGCGGCGGAGACAAUUUUUGUAUAGCCUUGACUUUGUUGGGGUCGACCACAAUUCCCUUUUCGCUGACUAUGAAACCAAGCAGCUUCCCUGACCUACCUCCAAAAGUACAUUUUAUUGGAUUGAGCUUUAGUUAAAACUUCCUCAACCUCAGGAAAAAUUUCCUCAAAACUUGUAUAUGCUCCUUUUCUGUUCGGGAUUUUGCGAUCAUAUCAUCGACGUAGACCUCAAUUUCCUUAUGCAUCAUGUUGUGAAACAAGGUUACCAUGGCUCUUUGAUACAUUGCUCCUGCAUUCUUCAACCCGAAUGGCAUCACCCAAUAGCAAAAAGUCCCCCAUAAGGUUAUGAAUGUAGUCUUUUCCAUGUCUUCAGGAUGCAUCUUUAUCUGAUUGUACACAGAGAAACUAUCCAUGAAGGAGAACAGUGAGUAACCUGCCGUGUUGUCCUCCAAAGUGUCGAUGUGUGGCAGUGGGAAGUUGUCCUUUGGGCUAGCCUUAUUUAAGUCUCUGUAAUCCAUGCACAUCCGCACUUUUCCAUCCUUCUUAGGGACAAGGACGGCAUCGGCUACCCAUUCUGAGUAAUUCACCACUUGCAAGAACCCGGCAUCAAAUUGCUUCCUGACCUCUUCUCUUAUUUUUACUACAACAUCGGGUCUCAUCUUCUGAAGCCUCUGCUGAAUAGGCUUGCACUCUUCUUUUAUGGGGAUGCAAUGCACUGAAAUAUCAGCACUUAGCCUAGGCAUGUCUUGAUAUGACCACGCGAAGAUAUCUUUGAACUCUUAUAGUAAAUCAAUGAGGUCCCGUCUUGUUUCCUCAGUUAUGCAAGCUCUAAUGUUCACCUCUUUCCCCCCUUCCAAGGUCACACUCUCAAUUGUCUCUUUAUGGGGUAAAAUCUGUUUCUCUUCUUGUUCACCAUCCUUAACAAAUCUAAAGGUAAGCUACAGUCUUCAUCAUCUUCAAAAUCCUGAGAUCCCUCCAAACACACAUCUCGCUCAAAAAGGAACUCCGGGUUUGUAACAGCGUCACUCAUGCCAUUGAUAUCUGAGUCCUAUUGUAGGCACGAAAGAAUAUCCAACAAACAAAUGAACCUAAGUAUAGCUUUAUUUGUAUAGUAUGAUUAUAAAUGAAAUGCAAGAAAAGAAAAUUUGCUGAAGAUAAAAGAAUAUUUACUCAGAAUAAGACAUGAAAGUGUAUUUAUAUUGAAAUAAAUGUUUUGAACAUGAGCCUAUUUCGCAAAAGGUUCUUAUUGAUUCUAGGCUUUAAAACGACAAGUGCAUUUUGAACAUUACUCUGUAUUAGCACUAAAAACUACAGGAAUUUUCUCCGCAGUCCAGUUGUUCAGAACACUUCCAGGCUCAUAAGGGCGAAUGCUUGCUAAGUCACGUUUCAUCACUUUCUCUUCAGAUAUGACAUUGAUAUUCAAAUUUUCCAUUGUGUCUUCAGCUGCUCCCUCUCUUGUCAUCUUUAAUUCAGGAUAAAUAACUCCACCUGACACAAAUAUAUAGGAUAUAUGGGGAAAAGUCAUUGAUUCCCACUCGACUUCUGCCCCAUUUAGUCGUGCUCUUCGUCUGUUCUGCCUCCUUUCCAUCUCAUUUCUUUUUUGCUUUGCAUUUGGCCUAUACCCUAAGCCAAAGCGAUCUUGUUUAUCAGCCAAAACCGGUACCUCAACUUGUCCAUGAAGAUACUUUCCAAGUCCUCUUCCAAGCAAUGCUCCCUUUCCCACUAUUAAUUGCAAGCUCAUCCUCGUAGCCUCAAAUAUUCUUGGCAUUGGCACCCUGCCCCCUUCAGUGAUGAAAGUUGCAUUUACAAACUCUAAUGACUAAAAGGAACACUCAAUUUCUUCAUCAUCAUUUUCUAUAUACGGUGCACUACUAGUAACGGAUGCAAUAAUGUCCUCUUCAGCAUUUAUCGUUAUCAAGUGGCCCUCAAUCACCAACUUUAACUUUUGGUGCAAUGAUGACGGUACUGCCCCUGCCAAGUGAAUCCAAGGCCUCCCCAACAAGCAAUUACAAGAAGGCGUAAUAUCCAUCACAAGGAAAUCUACCUCGUAUGUGUUUGGUCCGAUCAGCAGAGGUACCUUAAUCCUUUCCAUCACUUUUCUCUUAGUGUCAUCAAAUGCCCUCACUAUGUUCUGGCAUGUCUUCAUAUGAGAGCUGUCUAUUGAUAACCUAUUUAAUGUGGACAAGGGCAAAACAUUCAGCGUUGACCCAUUAUCAAUUAAUACCCCCGGUAGUGUAUACCUUUUGCAGCGAGUGGUGAUGUACAGAGCCUUGGUGGAUCCCAUGCCCCCUGGUGGUAUUUCAUCAUCACUGAAGGAGAUAAAGUUAUCGGCGCUUAUGUUGCUAACAAGGUGGUCUAGCUUGUUCACUGAAAUAUCUUCAGCGACAUAGGUCUCGUUCAACACCUUCAUCAACGUAUUUCGGUGAACCUCCGAGUUUUGGAGCAGAGCUAGUACCAAUGUGCAUGCCGGCUGCUUGUGCAACUAUUCCACAAUACUAUACUCACUGUGUUUUAGGAACUUCAAAAAUUCAUUAUCUUCAUCUUCAGUUACUGGUUCAUUAACCAGUGGUUUUGUCCUCUCUUUCCCUUGUUCAAUCAUCACGGACUUUCCUUUUCCAGGCUCGACCUUUGUACUUGGCGUGCUGACCAGACUGUCCUCCCCUGGAUAUGUCACAUUACAGUUGUAAUUCCAAGGCACCCUUUUGUUAUCCUUAUACGGAAAAGCCGUGGGUCUUUGGAUUACAACUCUCGGUGUAAUUUUUACUCCAACUUCAUUAAUUUUCGGUCAUGAAAUAAUCACCACUGGGUGAUUGACCUCAGAAACCUUCUCUAUCAACCCCUCUUCCGAGAUGCAUACAUCUUCCUUCUCAGUAAACUCAAAGAACUCCAGUUCUUUGUUGUCCAUUAGAGCCUGUACCAGAGCCCUAAAUUCAUUAUAUGCUUCUAUCUCAUGGUCCUCCUCUCUAUGGAACUCACAAUAGUUCCCUACUUCUCGGGAUUUGCUCCCAAAGUCUUGCAUGAUUAGACCUUUCUCUACCAUCUUCUUCAAAACCUCCCUCAUCGGGGUUCUCACUUCUACCACAUCCAACUUAAUUCUCCUCCCCAUAUUCUCGACUAUUACGUUUACCCCUUUAUCAGUAAGAUUGGGUAACGAAUUUCCUACACCAGAUGCAUCAUCGAAUUUCACAACACCCAUGUUAAUGGGCCUUUCAACUACCCUCUUAAAAGAGGUGCAGUUCUCUGUUGAAUAACCCGCGAUUCCAGUAUGAUAUUCACAUUGAGCACUUGCAUCAUACCACUUGGGGUAUGGGGUUGCAGUGGUUUUAAGUAGAAAGGAGAUAUGACGUGUGCAUCAAACAAACUUUUGUACAGCUUUCGAUACAUUAUUGGAAUGAGAGUAAACUGGGGCUUCUCCAUGUUCUGCUUUAUAUUGGGCUCUUGCCUUGGCGAAGCUUGCUGGCCUGUGGCUACCACUUUCGGUUGAUUUACCAUGAUUGGUUUCGCAUAACCCAUGUUCACAUUGCUGACUUCAUUUUCUUUCUUUUUCGGGGCCGACCUCCUGGUGCUUUCCCCUGCCUCUAUCUUUUCGCACUUUAUUGCAUUCUCAAUCAUUUCACCAGAUAUAACUAUAUCUACAAAACUCUUAGUUGCGUUUCCCAACACCUGAUUAAUAAAAGGUACCUUCAAUGUAUUAAUGAAAAGCAUGGUUGUUUCCUUUUCCAACAGUUGGGGUUGGACUUGUGUAGCAAUCUCCCUCCAUCUCUGAGCAUAUUGCCUGAAACUUUCAUUUGACUUCUUCUCUAUGUUCUGUAAUAUGAUCCUAUCAGGCGCUAUGUUAGUCACAUGGCCAUAUUGUUUUAUAAAGGCCUGUGCUAAGUCUUUCCACGAUUUAACUUGGAUAUGAUUCAACUGAUUAUACCAUUUGGCUAUAGCCUCAAUCAAAUUGUCCUAGAAAUAGUGAAUCAAUAACUGAUCAUUAUUGACAUGACCAGUCAUUCUUCGACAAAACAUAGUGAUAUGAGCCUCAGGGCAACUGGUUUCAUUGUAUUUUUCAAAUUCUGGCAUUUUGAACUUCGGGGGGAGUACCGGAUUUGGAACCAAGCUUAAAUCAUUGGCAUCCAUUCCGUAAUGAUAAUCAGCGCUUUCCAACGUCUUGAAUUUUUCCUCCAACCAUUUAUAUCGGUCUUCUAGUCGCUUUGGAAAUUCUGCUCCUGCCUUUCUUACUUCCGCGGCCUCAUCGAAGUCAGGGACUGUAGGAUUUGCCUGAUGGUCUUCGGGGUUAGAACACGAGCCCGUCGGGACAUUUAUCGGUGUCGAAGUACCACUCUAAUAUUGGGGUUUGAUAUUGACAGACACCUUUUGCGGAUGCACUGGAGUAUUUGUUGGGGUGAAACCCAGAAGGUAAGCAAGAAUCCCGCUAUCAUCCUCAGCAUUGACCAUGGGACUCUUCCCCUUUUUCGGCUUUCCAACUAGUAGCUGAGUCAAUUCACUCAUCAUACUCCUCUGAGAUUCUAGCAUUUUAUCUUUCAUAUCUUGCUGGAUCUUAGUUAAUUGCUCUUUCAUUUGCGCUUGCAUCUGUUCCUGCAUUUCUUUCUACAUCUGCUCUAAUUUUUUCAACCUUUGAUCCAAAGCUUUGGUCUUUUUCGUGUGUAAUAUUGAUGUUCCAGGGUAACUAUAAUACAAUUUUUAAAUUAAUUAAUGUUCUUUUCAUGAAAUUUAAUGUACAUGAUGCGAUGAAAUGAAAAUGUAUGAAAUAAAUGCAAAACUAAAGAGACGUCGAUUCUGAUUCAAUUAUAUUUAAAAAACUUUAUUAGAAAGAAAAAUCAUUUACAUAAAAUAUAUCAUAUAUACGGCCUAGCCCUAAUGCUCAAAGCUUUAACUUUCUUAAGAAGGCAAGCUAGCUCACGACCCCGGUCCAACUCUAACUCAUACUUCACACUUAGCACAUCAGCUUGAACCACUAUGGUCUGUAAAUGAUCAGCCACUUCUCGAAUCUGAGCCACGGCUUCACCCAUGAUAUGAUCUCUAUCCCUGACCUGGUCCUACGAUCAGCGGAGCUGUUCCUUCCACUGCUCAUUGUUCGACUCAAGUAAUUCAAUUUGAAGCUCACAGUUUUGUAGUGCAGUCUCAAGCUCUUCUACCUUCCCUUUCAAAUCUUCAAUCCUACCCAAACUGGCUCUUAAUUCAAUAUCAGAGUUACGACCAUGGUGCUGAUACAGGGCCUUUUCUAGCUCCGCUACCCGAGCUACCAACAUCUAUUUCUCACAUUGGCCUUCAACCAAAUUCUUCUUUAAUGCGCUUUCACGUGCUCGAGCAUCAUGGAACCUCUUCUCCCACUGAUCUGUUCUAGCCUUUUCCCCUUGAACUUCUUGUCGCCACUGCUCUGACGUCUUUCCCAAUCCAGCAGUUCUCAUCGACAUAUGCAGCUUCUUGUAAUCAAUCUUUAAACUAUCCAAGUCUUCCUCAGCCUUCCAUUUCCCUUUUCUCAACUUUUCGGCCUCGAGUUUCUGAACAUCGACAUCCGAACUCAAAUGCAUAUUUUCUUUUUCCAAUCUAUCUUUUUCCCUAAUUCUGCAUUUCUCUCUUCGAAGUCCCAUUUUACGAUUUCAAGCUCGGAGGGGAUUACUUGCAAAUAUUCUUCCAUCGCACGAACAUCCUCCAAACUCAGCUAAGGGAUAUUAUCAUUAACUCUUUUACUCAACCACCCCUUGUAUUCAGGAGCCGUCAUUGAUCCAACAUCCAAUCUCUUCAUCCGACGCGUCUGUUUCCAAGCAUCAGAAAUCUCUCGAACCUUCUUCUUAUAAUUGUUCUCCCUAUACGCGAACUCACUCUAGGCUAAUCCACGUGUUAUCGGUAUAAACUGCCUUGACCUGUAUUGUCUUAAAACGAGCAAAGGGGCAUAUCCAGCAGCUCUCUAAAUUCCAAGUAGAGGUACCUAAUCAAAACUCCCACACCGAUAGAGGAUCUCAUAAGGAACAAACCAAGGAGCUUUCCACUCAACAUCCUCUUCCUGAAUAUUUUAGAGGAACGCGAUCCAAUUUUCUUCUGAUAUGUCAUCUCUCUUGGACAUGGCUGUUAUUUCCUUUAACGGGGAGUAAAUCUCGGAGAAAACCCGAUCAAAAACCUUAUCCACCUUCCAGAAAUGGCUGUGGAACCAAGCCAGCAACAAUUGCGCACACCCUAUAAAUCUUCCUUCACUUGCCCUCCGACAUGCACUCAAAGAUCUAAAUGUCUCCACUAGAAUUGUCGGCACUAGUAUGACCCCUUUGUCAAGUCGAUCAAAGAAAUCGGCAACUACUUCAUCUAUAUGCCUUAAAGCUUUGGGGAAAAUCACCAAACCAUAGAUACUCAAGGCGAAAACAUCAACUUUCCUCUUUGUAUCUGCAUGUGCCACGAUCAGGUCCCUCAAACUCACCCAAGAAAUGCACUUACCAUCACCCUUUAGCUGAAUUCGGGCUGUAACCCACUGUUUACUCAUCCCAGUGAUACUCAUUAACUUCUUUACAAAAGCCGGGGCACUAGCAGCCUUGGAAUAAAUUUUGUCGACUUGAACCUUUGGACAACGAAGCAAAGCUGUAUACUCCUCCACAAUAGGCACCAAAUCCACCUUUCCAAAGGUGAAACAACUAUAUGCCAGGUUCCAUAACUGAGCCAUAGCCCGAAACAAGUACUUAUCCACCUUGACGUCAAGUAGGUAGGGUAAGUCGCCAUAAUUUUGAUAGAACAGCUGCCUAGCCUUAUCAUCCCAACUAGCCCAUAUAUCCCUCAACUCUUGGAGUUCAUUUUGGGUCACAUUGAUACGAGUGAAGUUCCUCAAUUCCGAUGUACACCCUUCAGCCAAGCUAUCCCCUUUCUCAAGUUGCAUAUUCUCUGACCACAUACGGACAACCGCAUUAUCUUCUACUUUAUCAAGGAAUUCGCUCUCCAUAACCAGCUUUAUAAUUUAGCAACCGAAUAGAAAUCGACACCUCUUUAAUAAUGCAAACAUAUCUACAACAAAACACAACAAGUUAGUAUCAAAAAAUAAAAAAUAAAAGUAAAUAGAAAAUAAUCAAACACCUAACUGGGUAAUCACUAGGGUUCAACAUAGCUCUACCUAGGGCGGGCUCCUAGAGUUCACUAUAUGUGGCUCGGUUCUAGAAAAUGGUACCUGAACUAGCAGAUUCCUCAACCCUCACCCAUUAUAGGCUCAUGUGGAUCGAGUUCGAUUCAAGGGAAUACAUUUCCCUAUGGCCAUGAGGAGGUGAAAACCUCACGAAGACAUAGGUACGGAUGUAUCCCGAAAGCAGACCACUAGCCCAUGCGGAGGUGAAAACCUCAUGGAGGCAUAGUUUCUCACUCCCACUUAAAAAGGUGCAACCACAAUGGUCAUGCAAGAUGAUGUGAGGGGAUAUAAAAAACUCAAAAUGCAAAACACGAAUAAAAUGAAAAAAACUAUAAAACCCAUGAAAUGCAAUGAAAGGAUCGUAUGUUAAAAUCCAAAGUUUAAAUUUUUGGCAAAAAGAUAGAAAAUAAUCAAUUUUACUGCUUGACUCUCUUAUUGGUCCCUAGUAGAGUCGCCAAGCUGUCGAAACCAUUUUUAAAACUUGAAAAAACGGGGAUCGACUUUAAAAACAAAUUAUGGAGUCGCCACCAAUCUUUUUUGGUUUAGGUGUGAUCGGAUCACCUAAUAAAUUAUUUUAGUAAAAUAUUGAUUUUGAGCCUACGAAAAAUCAAGAAACGGGUUCGGGAGUCGGUUACGUACGGGAAAGAAUUAGCACCCUCGUAACUCCCAAAAUUGGUACCUAAUUGAUUAAUUUAUAUCCUAAUGUUGAAAAUUUUAAAAAACAUCGAAAUACGAUCCCUUUAAAAGUGUGUGAACAACUCGAGUUGGAUUUUAAGAUUCACUCGUUCCAAAGGAAUAAAAUACCACAUCCAGCAUAUUAGGACGCGAUAUUUUAAGCCUCCAAAAAACUGAGAUCACCUCAUGAUUUCCAAAACACGCGAAGCAACUCCAAUUGGAUUUUGAGAUUCACUCGUUCCAAAGGAAUAAAAUAUCACAUCCAGCACAUUAGGACACGGUAUUUUAAGCCUCCAAAAACUGAGAUCACAUCAUGAUUUCCAAAAUACGCAACGAAAAUUUUUAAAAGGGUAUUCGGUUAUUUGGUCCAACGAUAAAUCGAAACCCAGCAUGUUAGGGCACGAUUCCUCAAAUUUCCAAACAUGAAACGUUGCCUCGAUUUGUGAAGUUUCAAAUACAAUUGCAAAAACGAGUCAAAAUAUACUUGUUUGAUUUGUUUGAAAAUAAAGGACAAUCGAUAUUGAGUGAAUAUGGGAAAUAUAAUCAUGAUGCAACAACAAGAAACAAAAAUAUAAUUACUGUUAGAAUUAAGUGACCCAAAUUCUUAUUUAAAUAAAAUAUGAUGGAAAAUAAAAUAAAAGUAAAAUCCAUAUAGAACUAGACUUCUUUUAUUUUAUUUUAGAAUAAGGUUUUUAAACCUUAUUAAACUCCAUCUAUUUUAUAUUGAUUAGGAUAAAGUGCUUCAAUCCUACUAGAAUAUGACUUUGCAAGCCUAUAAAUAGACAUCGUCUAUUCCUCUUGUAUUUGAUUCAAAUUUUUCGACAUAGUGAAUUUUCUUCUCCUCUGCCCGUGGUUUUUUCCCGAAAGGGUUUCCACGUAAAAUUUGUGUGUUCUUUAUUUUAUUUUAUUUUAUUUUUUCACAAAUUGGUAUCAGAGCUUCCGGGUUAUUCAUCUCGAUCACGGUAAUGGUGUGACACCCCUAAAGUGACCCUAGUCGGAAAGUGGUUUCGGGACCCCUAAACCGAGUCAUAAAGAUAAUUAACCGUCAUAGUUGAUGCUCAUUAUAUGUACAUAUGCAUGUGUGAAAAUUUCAUGUUUGAAUUUUGUUAAUGGUAAGUGAAUUUUAUCAAAUAGGAUUUAUGUGAGAAAAUUUGGAAAUGUGCUAGGCAAAUGUAAAGUGGCCUAAUAAUGCAUGUUGUGAAAUGAUGGGUUUGCAUGUCAAAUUCCCCACUUUAGAGGAAGUGGCCGGCCAUGAGGGUAUGGGAUACAAAGCAUAUGCAUUUUGUAUUAAUAUUAUAAUGACUACAUGGUUUUAUAAUAGGAAAUAAGUAUUAAAAAAAACAUAUUAAAGACAUUUUAUGCUAAUAUGUGUGGGAAGAAUAAUAAAAUAUGAGGGGAGUGGGAGGAGAAACCAAAGUUGUCUCCCCCUUACUCCCCAUUGCCGUGACUAGAGAAAGGGGAAGAAAAACAAAAUUCUUCCUUUGUUGUUCAACAUGGCCGAAUGGAAGGAAGAAGAAGAGGGGAAGUUCGGCCAAGGUGGUUCUUGAGAUUAAGGUAUGUUCAAUGUUGCUUUUGGAGGUUUACACAUCCUUUGGAGGGUUAGCCUACUUCUAUUUAUCUCAUGGAUGAAAUUAGAGUUGUUGGAGAGUUAGGAUUCGGCUAAGAGGCUUCAAAAUUUUAGUUGAUGCCUUGAUACUACUAGCAUGUUAGCUAUAUGGAUGUGUUAAAUUACUUGAAAUGCUAGAUAAAUUUGAACUCCCUACCAAAUUCUUUAGGCAACCCAUGUUAGAAAUUUCGGUAUUGAGAUGUCUAGAUCUUUCGGCCAUUGUAGCUAUGGAGGAAUAAAGUUUUUGUUUCUUGUUAAAUUGGAUGAAUCUUGUUGUAUGAGUGCUUAAACAAACUAUGAUUAAAUGGAUGCAUAAAUUCAAAGUGGGAAGAAAUGGGCUAUUAUAUUUGAUGCUAAUGCCGAAUAUGAAGAUGAUGAACUUGAAUAAAUAAUAUUCAGCUAGCAUGAUAAGUUAUGAAAUAUUAAGUAGAUGAUAUAAUUGAUUGAUGAAGUGGCUAAUAAGGAUUUCUAAUGAAAUUGUUGCCAAGGCCGAAUGUAUCAUGAAGUAAAUAAAAAAAUUCUAAAUGUGCAUUAUGUGCUUAUAUGUGUAUUCGGCCAGGGAAGUUUGACAUGAAACUUUGAUAGGUUUGAGAGAUGAAUGACCGAAUGAGCUAGAGGUUAUGUAUGGGUGAAUUUUAUGCACAUGUGUGUGUGUGGCAUUAGUAGCUAAUGGAAUUCGGCAUUGUUUAAUUAAAAUUAGAAAUGAAUGCUUGAAAGUUAAAUAGGUCACUCUAAUGACCAAAUAUGCUAAAAGCUAAUAUAUGGACAAAUGAUACGAACGAAUUGGUUUUUGAAAUGUAUAUGGUUGCCAUAUAUAUGUGUUUGAUUGAGAAGUAAAUUUGUUUGAUUUAGCUCAAGAGCCUAGAGGAUCAAAGUUGGAUAAGGGAAAGGAAAAAGUGAUCGAAGAGUCGUCGUAAUCGUUCGGCAACUUCCGAGGUAAGUUUUAAGUGUUUAAACGUUGAGUAAAUUCAAUUAUAAUAGGACAUGAUGAGCUGAUUUAAUAAGAUAUGAUGUGGCCAUGAUAUGUUCUAAGCUCAAAUGGUAAGUUCUUAAGUGUUUGAGCUUGGGAAUUUAAAGGUAAUUUGAAAUAGUCUGCUUCGGACAGCAGCAGUAACGUGACUUUAGAAAAUCACCAUAAAUUUAUGGACUUGAAUUAGAGGCUGAAUGAGACAUGAAAUUAAAACUUAAUGAGUCUAGUUUCUUAUAAAAGAAACCGUGUAAGCAAAGGAAUUUCCGAUAAUGAGAUAUUUAAAGUUGUGUCAGAUGGUGUCAGAAUGACUCCGAAAUCCCCUGUUCUGUUUUUAGAAAAUCAUUAUAAAUUUUACAAAAAUGUUUAUAAGAUAAAAUUUAUAUGCUUAGACUCCUUAAUGAGUCUAGUUUCAAAUAAAAUCAAAUAAAACACAUUUUGAAUUCUGUAAAAUGAGAAAUUUGAUUCGUAGUGAAGAGUGGUCAGAUUAGUCAAACAGUGGAACAGGGGAAACUUUAAGAAAAAUAUGGUAUUGAUUGGCCAAACCUAAAAUUCUGGAAAUUUUAUGGAUGGAAGAUAUACGAGUCUAUAUUCAGGAAAAAUUAACGGAAAGUGAUUUGGAGUUUUGUAGCUCCAGUUAUAAAUGAUUUAGUGACUAUUGCUCAGGAAAAACAGCUUGUGCUGAAUUUGAGAUUGUGUUGUAAACCUUGAUAAACUUGUUCUAGUUGCUCAUAAGCUAUCGAUUAAACCCAUACGUGAAUUCUAAAUUGUGAUAUUGGAAAAUGAUAGAUGUAGAUUCAGCCAAGAGAGUGUAUAUAUGUGAUAAGGCCUAAUGGCCGAUGUGAUGAAUGUGAAAGUGUAUGUAUGUAAUAAGGCCUAAUGGCCGAUGUGAUGAAUGUGAAAGUGUAUGUAUAUGUGAUAAGGCCUAAUGGCCGAUGUGAUGAAUGUGAAAGUGUAUGUAUAUAUGUGAUAAGGCCUAAUGGUCGAUGUGAUGAAUGUGAAAGUGUAUGUAUAUAUGUAAUAAGGCCUAAUAGCCGAUGUGAUGAAUGUGAAAGUGUAUAUGUGUGAUAAGGCCUAAUAGCCGACGUGAUGAAUGUGAAAGUGUAUAUGUGUGAUAAGGCCUAAUAGCCGAUGUGAUGAAUGUGAAAGUGUAUAUAUGUGAUAAGGCCUAAUGGCCGAUGCGAUGAAUGUGAAAGUGUAUAUAUGUGAUAAGGCCUAAUGGCCGAUAUGAUGAAUGUGAAAGAGUAUAUAUGUGACAGGGCCGAGUGGCCAACGUAAUGGAUGUGAAAGUGCAUAAAUGUGAUAAGUCCCGAAAGGCAUUUGUGUCAGUACUAUAUCCGGGUUAAAACCCCGCAGGCUUUAUGCGAGAAUAUUAUCACUGAUUAAUGUCCUUAAGCUUCGUGCUUGUACUAUAUCCGAGCUCUAAAGACCCGAUGACUACGUGUGGGGAUUUUGUCCGGGUAAGACCCGAUAACUUCGUGUGGAGAUUAUGUCCGGGUAAGACUUCGUAAUAAGAAUUGCUUAUAAAUAUAUUCAAUGCGAAAGGUUAAACAGGUAUGUACUUCAAGUUUAUAUGUGAGCUUGAUUUGCACUAAAUCAUAAGGUAGUUAUGUGAUGCAUACGAAAGCAAUCUUUGAGACUAUUCCUAUAAUUAUGUGACAUCGGAUCAGUGUGAGAGGUGAUGUGAAAUCAUACGAUAUAUCUAUGUCACAUGAGCUCACUUUUAUGUGAAAGUUUAUCUGCCUAUUGUAUAUGAUGAGAUGUGCAGAUUCGGUAAAGGGAUGGUAUGCCCGAAGGAAGAGUGAAAUAAAAAUACGAACAACUAUGUUAUAAUUUGAUUGUUAUCUGUUGACACUGCUUAAAACUUACUAAGCAUUGUAAUGCUUACUCCGUUUACUCUGUUUCCUCUGUUUUAUAGAUCUCAUUGCGAAGCUACAGGCUCGGGGAUCGUCAGCAACUAGUCACACUAUCACUAUCCACUGUUUGGUACUGCUAUGUUUCGGAUUGUCUUAUGGCAUGUAUAAAAUAGACUAGUGGCGGAAGAAUAUUUUGGUUAAUGUAUAUAGCCAUGCGAAAAUGGCUUAUAUAUGUUUGAGCAUAAUGUUAUAAUCAUUUGGUAUGGAAUGGUUAAUCGCUAUCAUGAUUUGUGCUAUUUAUGCUAAAAGGGCUAGUUGAAUCAUGGAAACUAUGAAAUAGGUAAAGUCUACCUUAAAGGCAGAUGCUGGCAGCAGCAGUGAUGUAGAUUUGGAAAAUCACUAAAAAUAGUAGGAUUGGAAUUAAAUAGUGAAUAAAUUAUGUAAACGAACAUUGAUGAAUCUAUUUUCAUAGGAAAGUAACGAAAUGAUCAUAUGGACAGUAUGUUAAGAGAUAUUCAGGUUCUCGUGAGAAAGGGCCAGAACGGUUUCUGGAUUCCCUGUUCCGACUUUGUAAAUUCAUUAUAAAUUAACCAGAGAUAAUUAGGAGUCAUGCCAUAUAUGUAUGGAUUCCUCUCUGAGUCUAGUUUCUAUAGAAACAAACGGUAUCAGUAUUGAAGCCCUGUGCAGGGAGAUAUCCAAGUCGUAAUGCGAAAAGGUCAGUGUAGUCGAUCCCUAUAACAUGGGAGACUUUGACUAAUAAACUGUACUAAUUGGCCCGACCAAAAAUUCUAGAAAAAAAUAUGUAGAUGGGCAUAUGAGUCUAGUUUCAUGGAAAAAUUACGAAACUGAUUUUCAAGUUGUGAAACUCAAGAUAUGAUUUUUAAAGCGACUAGUAUGCAGAUUGGCAGUGUCUGGGAAAUUUUUUUUUAUAAGUGGUUAAAGUCUGCUAACACCUCGUGUUCGACUCCGGUGACGGUCUCGGGUUCGGGGUGUUACAUUUGAUUGGUAUCAGAGCUAUGGUUUAGUCGAUUCUAGGACUAACGUAGCACGCGUGAGUCUAUUUAUACAUGCCAUAAAGUGAUAAAAUGAUAGUGUGAUGAUUUUUUGGCUAUUAAAAUGUGUUUGCUGUAUUGUAAUGAAUCUUGAUCCCGAUCGAGCUGUAGCAAGCUUCUGACUAUGAGAAUUUGCGAUAUAACUUCAUUUAGAUAUGCCUAAAUUAUUAAGUUGAUCAGGUACGUAUCAUGUACUCGUAUUUGAAUUUCGAUUUGGAUUGAAUUAUAAGGGUAUAAGUGAUGCAAUUUUGAAGGAGUGUUAUGACUAUAAAUGUGAUUUUUGUAUGUGGCUAUGGAACUGGAAGUUGAAUGGUCGAUAAGCAUGUUGUGUUUGUAUUCAAGUAAUGUAAAUGAUAUACUAAUGUGUAUUGCUAUAUGUGUAUAUGUAUGUAGAGACGAAAUUGUCGAAUGUAAAAAGGCAGUGAAGCGUAUAGAGUGGUUGGUUUUCAGCACUAAGUGUGCGGGCAAUAAGUGUUCACGGUUGUGAGAUUGGCACUAAGUGUGCGGGCAAUAAGUGUUCGCGGUUGUGAGAUUGGCACUAAGUGUGCGGGCAAUAAGUGUUCACGGUUGUGAGAUUGGCACUAAGUGUGCGGGCUUGAAAUGCAUGGCACUAAGUGUGCAAGUUUAAAGUACAUGGCACUAAGUGUGCGUGGUUGAUUAUUAAGCACUAUGUGUGCGAACCCACUAUAUAUAUAUAUUUUCUAUCAAUUAUUUAUAUUAAGGGUGCGACCUUACCGAGUCGAUUUCGGACAGCGAAAAGGGGUAAGUUCUUGAGUAAUAGAGCUUAAAUUAUGAUUUGAUUAGAUCAUGUUUUAAGCAAAUCAAAAUCAUGCUCUUUGUGUGUGGCUAUUGAGCCGAAAUUGCAAGAAUGAUAAGUGUCUUGUGUUUGAGUUUUGCUAACGAAAAUGAAAUACGAAUGUGCCAUGAUUUGUUGUUAAAUGUGCAUGGUUAUUUGAAUGAUGUCCGGGCUAAGUCCCGAAGGCUUUGUGCUAAGUGACCAUAUCCGGACUAAGACCCGAAGGCAUUGGUGCGAGUUACUAAAUCCAGGCUAAGUCCCGAAGAGCAUUCAUGCUAGUGAUGUAUUCGGGCUAAGUCCCGAAGAGCAUUCAUGCUAGUGAUGUAUCCGGGCUAAGUUCCAAAGAGCAUUCGUGCUAGUGAUAUAUCCGUGCUAAACCCCGAAGAGCAUUCGUGCUGGUGUUAUGUCCGGGCUAGGUCCCGAAGAGCAAUCAUGCUGGUGACGUGUAUUCGGACCUUCGUGCCUAGUAGGCUUUGUGCCGGUAAUUUGAGCAAAGUUUAAGUAUUCAUUACUAUACGAAUUCAAAUUUAAAUGAGAUGAUAUGUUUAAAAGUGUUCAUACAUGAUGUUUAUAGACUUGGUUAAGUCAUUUCAAUGUGUAAUAACGAAUGAAUAAGAGCACUAUGUGUGUGAAUGAUUAGAGGCACUGUGUGUGUGCGAAUUCCUUUAACCGAGCACUAUGAGUGCGAGAUCGGUCAGUGGGCACUAAGUGUGUGAAGUGGAAUUCAUGUAAGACCUCGUUUGGGACGAAGGCAUUGAUUUGAGAUAGUGUGUAAGACCAUGUCUGGGACAUGGCAUCGGCUCGAUAUGUGAGAAUAUGUAAGACCAUAUCUAGGAUAUGGCAUUGUAAGAGCUAUAUGUACUAUUGCUGAAUGGACACUAUUUUGUUAAUCUUGUUUAAGAAAUUAUUUUGAUUAAGUUUCGACAUUCGAAAGUUUGAAAGAAUUUUUGAUGAAUGUUGAUAAUUUUUUAUAUACGAGUUAUGUGCUAGAAUAAAUCUCAUGCCAGUGUAUUAUAUUAGGCUUUAUGCCUAUUCGACUGUAUACGGGUAACGUUAACAAUGAUUGAAUGUGCUAAAUGAACUAAAUGUUCAGGUACGUGGAAGUUGACUUUUCUUUUGGAAAUGAGUUAAGUUGAAUAUUGAGAUGUGAUAAAGUUAUAAAGGAUAUUUAUUGGGAUGUUUGAGUAUAUGUGUACUUUCGGUUAGGUUACAGCUUAUUCAUGAAUGAAAAUGUGGGUUACAAAUAUGUGGGUUGAUGAUGUGAAUUAUACAUGUUAAUAUGUGUUUGAAAUGCAUUUGUGAAUUAAGUUAAGUGAUUAUUGCUUAUGAAAUCAAGAAAAUGAGAUAUUUGUGCAUACUUGUAGAAAUGUUUAUGUAUUUGUUUUAAGAUAAGAAAAUGAUUUUAUAGACUGAUGCGAAAUCAAUAAUGAAUUACAAUUGCUAUCAAUGAGCUAAUGUCUUUGUGGAUAUAAUUCAAUAAGAGGACGUUAUCUUAAACUAUGCAUCGGUAGAAAUUUUCGGGGACGAAAAUUUCUUAAGGGGGGGAGAGUUGUGAUACCCCUAAAGUGACCCUAGUCGGAAAGUGGUUUCGGGACCACUAAACCGAGUCAUAAAGAUAAUUAACCGUCAUAGUUGAUGCUCAUUAUAUGUACAUAUGCAUGUGUGAAAAUUUCAUGUUUGAAUUUUGUUAAUGGUAAGUGAAUUUUAUCAAAUAGGACUUAUGUGAGAAAAUUUGGAAAUGUGCUAGGCAAAUGUAAAGUGGCCUAAUAAUGCAUGUUGUGAAAUGAUGGGUUUGCAUGUCAAAUUCCCCACUUUAGAGGAAGUGGCCGGCCAUGAGGGUAUGGGAUACAAAGCAUAUGCAUUUUGUAUUAAUAUUAUAAUGACUACAUGGUUUUAUAAUAGGAAAUAAGUAUUAAAAAAAACAUAUUAAAGACAUUUUAUGCUAAUAUGUGUGGGAAGAAUAAUAAAAUAUGAGGGGAGUGGGAGGAGAAACCAAAGUUGUCUCCCCCUUACUCCCCAUUGCCGUGACUAGAGAAAGGGGAGGAAAAACAAAAUUCUUCCUUUGUUGUUCAACAUGGCCGAAUGGAAGGAAGAAGAAGAGGGGAAGUUCGGCCAAGGUGGUUCUUGAGAUUAAGGUAUGUUCAAUGUUGCUUUUGGAGGUUUACACAUCCUUUGGAGGGUUAGCCUACUUCUAUUUAUCUCAUGGAUGAAAUUAGAGUUGUUGGAGAGUUAGGAUUCGGCUAAGAGGCUUCAAAAUUUUAGUUGAUGCCUUGAUACUACUAGCAUGUUAGCUAUAUGGAUGUGUUAAAUUACUUGAAAUGCUAGAUAAAUUUGAACUCCCUACCAAAUUCUUUAGGCAACCCAUGUUAGAAAUUUCGGUAUUGAGAUGUUUAGAUCUUUCGGCCAUUGUAGCUAUGGAGGAAUAAAGUUUUUGUUUCUUGUUAAAUUGGAUGAAUCUUGUUGUAUGAGUGCUUAAACAAACUAUGAUUAAAUGGAUGCAUAAAUUCAAAGUGGGAAGAAAUGGGCUAUUAUAUUUGAUGCUAAUGCCGAAUAUGAAGAUGAUGAACUUGAAUAAAUAAUAUUCAGCUAGCAUGAUAAGUUAUGAAAUAUUAAGUAGAUGAUAUAAUUGAUUGAUGAAGUGGCUAAUAAGGAUUUCUAAUGAAAUUGUUGCCAAGGCCGAAUGUAUCAUGAAGUAAAUAAAAAAAUUCUAAAUGUGCAUUAUGUGCUUAUAUGUGUAUUCGGCCAGGGAAGUUUGACAUGAAACUUUGAUAGGUUUGAGAGAUGAAUGACCGAAUGAGCUAGAGGUUAUGUAUGGGUGAAUUUUAUGCAUAUGUGUGUGUGUGGCAUUAGUAGCUAAUGGCAUUCGGCAUUGUUUAAUUAAAAUUAGAAAUGAAUGCUUGAAAGUUAAAUAGGUCACUCUAAUGACCAAAUAUGCUAAAAGCUAAUAUAUGGACAAAUGAUACGAACGAAUUGGUUUUUGAAAUGUAUAUGGUUGCCAUAUAUAUGUGUUUGAUUGAGAAGUAAAUUUGUUUGAUUUAGCUUAAGAGCCUAGAGGAUCAAAGUUGGAUAAGGGAAAGGAAAAAGUGAUCGAAGAGCCGUCGUAAUCGUUCGGCAAGUUCCGAGGUAAGUUUUAAGUGUUUAAACGUUGAGUAAAUUCAAUUAUAAUAGGACAUGAUGAGCUGAUUUAAUAAGAUAUGAUGUGGCCAUGAUAUGUUCUAAGCUCAAAUGGUAAGUUCUUAAGUGUUUGAGCUUGGGAAUUUAAAGGUAAUUUGAAAUAGUCUGCUUCGGACAGCAGCAGUAACGUGACUUUAGAAAAUCACCAUAAAUUUAUGGACUUGAAUUAAAGGCUGAAUGAGACAUGAAAUUAAAACUUAAUGAGUCUAGUUUCUUAUAAAAGAAACCGUGUAAGCAAAGGAAUUUCCGAUAAUGAGAUAUUUAAAGUUGUGUCAGAUGGUGUCAGAAUGACUCCGAAAUCCCCUGUUCUGUUUUUAGAAAAUCAUUAUAAAUUUUAAAAAAAUGUUUAUAAGAUAAAAUUUAUAUGCUUAGACUCCUUAAUGAGUCUAGUUUCAAAUAAAAUCAAAUACAACACAUUUUGAAUUCUGUAAAAUGAGAAAUUUGAUUCGUAGUGAAGAGUGGUCAGAUUAGUCAAACAGUGGAACAGGGGAAACUUUAAGAAAAAUAUGGUAUUGAUUGGCCAAACCUAAAAUUCUGGAAAUUUUAUGGAUGGAAGAUAUACAAGUCUAUAUUCAGGAAAAAUUAACGGAAAGUGAUUUGGAGUUUUGUAGCUCCAGUUAUAAAUGAUUUAGUGACUAUUGCUCAGGAAAAACAGCUUGUGCUGAAUUUGAGAUUGUGUUGUAAACCUUGAUAAACUUGUUCUAGUUGCUCAUAAGCUAUCGAUUAAACCCAUACGUGAAUUCUAAAUUGUGAUAUUGGAAAAUGAUAGAUGUAUAUUCAGCCAAGAGAGUGUAUAUAUGUGAUAAGGCCUAAUGGCCGAUGUGAUGAAUGUGAAAGUGUAUGUAUGUAAUAAGGCCUAAUGGCCGAUGUGAUGAAUGUGAAAGUGUAUGUAUAUGUGAUAAGGCCUAAUGGCCGAUGUGAUGAAUGUGAAAGUGUAUGUAUAUAUGUGAUAAGGCCUAAUGGUCGAUGUGAUGAAUGUGAAAGUGUAUGUAUAUAUGUAAUAAGGCCUAAUAGCCGAUGUGAUGAAUGUGAAAGUGUAUAUGUGUGAUAAGGCCUAAUAGCCGACGUGAUGAAUGUGAAAGUGUAUAUGUGUGAUAAGGCCUAAUAGCCGAUGUGAUGAAUGUGAAAGUGUAUAUAUGUGAUAAGGCCUAAUGGCCGAUGCGAUGAAUGUGAAAGUGUAUAUAUGUGAUAAGGCCUAAUGGCCGAUGUGAUGAAUGUGAAAGUGUAUAUAUGUGACAAGGCCGAGUGGCCAACGUAAUGGAUGUGAAAGUGCAUAAAUGUGAUAAGUCCCGAAAGGCAUUUGUGUCAGUACUAUAUCCGGGUUAAAACCCCGCAGGCUUUAUGCGAGAAUAUUAUCACUGAUUAAUGUCCUUAAGCUUCGUGCUUGUACUAUAUCCGAGCUCUAAAGACCCGAUGACUACGUGUGGGGAUUUUGUCCGGGUAAGACCCGAUAACUUCGUGUGGAGAUUAUGUCCGGGUAAGACUUCGUAAUAAGAAUUGCUUAUAAAUAUAUUCAAUGCGAAAGGUUAAACAGGUAUGUACUUCAAGUUUAUAUGUGAGCUUGAUUUGCACUAAAUCAUAAGGUAGUUAUGUGAUGCAUACGAAAGCAAUCUAUGAGACUAUUCCUAUGAUUAUGUGACAUCAGAUCAGUGUGAGAGGUGAUGUGAAAUCAUACGAUAUAUCUAUGUCACAUGAGCUCACUUUUAUGUGAAAGUUUAUCUGCCUAUUGUAUAUGAUGAGAUGUGCAGAUUCGGUAAAGGGAUGGUAUGCCCGAAGGAAGAGUGAAAUAAAAAUACGAACAACUAUGUUAUAAUUUGAUUGUUAUCUGUUGACACUGCUUAAAACUUACUAAGCAUUGUAAUGCUUACUCCGUUUACUCUGUUUCCUCUGUUUUAUAGAUCUCAUUGCGAAGCUAUAGGCUCGGGGAUCGUCAGCAACUAGUCACACUAUCACUAUCCACUGUUUGGUACUGCUAUGUUUCGGAUUGUCUUAUGGCAUGUAUAAAAUAGACUAGUGGCGGAAGAAUAUUUUGGUUAAUGUAUAUAGCCAUGCGAAAAUGGCUUAUAUAUGUUUGAGCAUAAUGUUAUAAUCAUUUGGUAUGGAAUGGUUAAUCGCUAUCAUGAUUUGUGCUAUUUAUGCUAAAAGGGCUAGUUGAAUCAUGGAAACUAUGAAAUAGGUAAAGUCUACCUUAAAGGCAGAUGCUGGUAGCAGCAGUGAUGUAGAUUUGGAAAAUCACUAAAAAUAGUAGGAUUGGAAUUAAAUAGUGAAUAAAUUAUGUAAACGAACCUUGAUGAAUCUAUUUUCAUAGGAAAGUAACGAAAUGAUCAUAUGGACAGUAUGUUAAGAGAUAUUUAGGUUCUCGUGAGAAAGGGCCAGAACGGUUUCUGGAUUCCCUGUUCCGACUUUGUAAAUUCAUUAUAAAUUAACCAGAGAUAAUUAGGAGUCAUGCCAUAUAUGUAUGGAUUCCUCUCUGAGUCUAGUUUCUAUAGAAACAAAGGGCAUCAGUAUUGAAGCCCUGUGCAGGGAGAUAUCCAAGUCGUAAUGCGCAAAGGUCAGUGUAGUCGAUCCCUGUAACAUGGGAGACUUUGACUAAUAAACUGUACUAAUUGGACUGAGCAAAAAUUCUAGAAAAAAAUAUGUAGAUGGGCAUAUGAGUCUAGUUUCAUGGAAAAAUUACGAAACUGAUUUUCAAGUUGUGAAACUCAAGAUAUCAUUUUUAAAGCGACUAGUACGCAGAUUGGAAGUGUCUGGGAAUUUUUUUUUAUAAGUGGUUAAAGUCUGCUAACACCUCGUGUUCGACUCCGGUGACGGUCUCGGGUUCGGGGUGUUACAAAUGGCGUCUUUGAUGUAUGAAAUUCCACUGUUGGAUCGCAACACUAGAUUUGCGUUGUGGCAAAUUAAGAUGCAAGCAGUUCUUGCACAGAUGGAUCUGGAGGAUGUCCUGCUAGGGAUAGAUAAGAUGCCUUCGACAUUAACAGAUGAAGAGAAGAAGCGUAAGGAUCGAAAGGCAUUAACACAAUUACAUCUGCAUUUGUCCAACGAAAUUUUACAGGAUGUGAUGAAAGAGAAAACUGCCGCUGCAUUAUGGAAGAGGCUAGAACAAAUACGUAUGUCGAAAACUCUAACAAGCAAGUUACAUAUGAAGCAGCGUCUUUAUGCUCAUCGUUUGGAGGAAGGUGCGUCUGUACACGAACACUUAACAGUGUUUAAAGAAAUUCUCUCAAACUUGAAGGCCAUGGAGGUUCAGUAUGAUAAGGAAGAUCUAGGGUUGAUUCUACUUUGUUCGUUGCCCCCGUCUUAUUCAACCUUUAGAGACACGAUUUUAUAUAGCCGAGAGUCUCUCACAGUUGAUGAGGUUUAUGAUUCUUUAACCUCGUAUGAUAAGAUGAAGCAUCUUGUGGUUAAACCCGACUCUCAGGGAGAGGGUCUCAUUGUUCAUGGGAGACAAGAUCGGAAUGCUGAUGAUGAUCGUGGUAGGACAUAGGAACGGAAUCCUCGUGGUAAAUCUAAGGGUAGAUCAAAGUCUUCAAACAGAGGUAAAACUUGUAACUUCUGCAAGAAGAAAGGGCACAUUAAAUCUGAGUGCUAUAAGCUACAAAAUAAGAUUAAAAGGGAGGCUGCGAAUCAAAAGGGAAAACAACCAGAAAAUUCCGGUGAAGCUAAUGUUGUAGAAGACUACAGCGAUGGUGAACUUUUAGUCGCUUCUGUUAAUGAUUCUAAAGUAAGUGAGGAGUGGAUACUUGAUUCAGGCUGCACCUUCUACAUGAGUCCCAAUCGGGAUUGGUUUACAACUUACGAAACAAUAUCUGAAGGUGUUGUUUAGAUGGGAAAUAAUGCUUCGUGUAAAAUCGCAGGUGUUAGAACAAUUAAAGUUAAGAUGUUUGAUGGAGUUGUCAGAACACUUAGUGACGUGCGGCAUGUUCCAGAAUUGAAAAGAAAUUUAAUUUCGUUGAGUAGUCUUGAUUCAAAAGGGUACAAAUACACAGCUGAAAGUGGGGUUUUAAAGAUUUCCAAAGGGUCCCUUGUUGUGAUGAAAGGGUAGAGAAAGAUUGCCAAGUUAUAUGUUUUACAGGGUUCUACUGUUACUGGUGAUGCAGCUGUCGCUUCCUCUUCCUUGUCAGAUGAUGAUAUUACUAAACUUUGGCAUAUGCGCCUAGGGCAUAUGAGUGAGAAUGGCAUGGCAGAAUUAAGCAAAAGAGGACUUCUUAAUGGGCAAGGAAUUUGCAAACUGAAUUUCUGUGAGCACUGUGUUUUUGGGAAGCAAAAGAGAGUUCGAUUCACUAGAGGAAUCCAUAACACGAAGGGAACGUUGGAGUAUAUUCAUUCUGAUCUGUGGAGGCCAUUCAGAGUGCCUUCGAGAGGUGGAGCUAAUUAUAUGCUAACCUUUAUUGAUGAUUUUUCUAGAAAAGUUUGGGCGUUUUUCCUGAAGCAAAAAAGCGAUGUGUUUUCCGUAUUUAAGUCUUGGAAAAUUAUGAUUGAAAAACAAAAGGGAAAACAGAUAAAAUACCUCCGCACAGACAAUGGCUUAGAGUUUUAUUUUGAUAAGUUUAAUAGAUUGUGCAAGUCAGAAGGGAUCAUGAGACACUUGACAGUUCGUCAUACUCUACAGCAAAACGGCAUUGCAGAACGAAUGAACAGAACGAUCAUGGAGAAGGUUCGAUGUAUGUUGUCAAAUGCCAACUUACCGAAGGUAUUUUGGGCAGAAGCGGCAUCUACUACAUGUUUUUUGAUCAACCGAUCUCUAUCCGUUGCCAUUGAGAAAAAGACUCCACAAGAGGUAUGGUCUGGUAAUCCUACUAAUUAUUCUAAUUUAAAGAUUUUUGGGUGUCCUGCGUAUGCUCAUGUUGAUAAUGGAAAAUUGGAACCGAGAUCUAUUAAAUGCAUUUUUCUUGGUUAUAAAGCUGGUGUAAAAGGGUAUAAGUUAUGGUGUCCUGAAAAUAGAAAAGUUGUGAUUAGCAAAGAUGUUGUUUUUGAUGAAACUGCUAUGCUACCUAACUUAUCUCUUAAAAACUCUUCCAAUAAAGAAAAUCAAAAGUAGGUGGAGCAUCAGAUUAGUACAGAGUCAACUCCUCAAGCCAGAACAAAAAUUAAGAAUGGAGUUGCUUCUUCACCACAAUAUUCUAUCGCCAAAAACAAAACUAGAAGAGAAAUUAAACCUCCAAAGAAGUAUGCCGAGGUUGAUCUAAUUGCUUAUGCUUUAAAUGUGGCUGAAGAUAUAGAUGCGAAUCAAGAGCCAUCUAAUUAUUCUGACGCGGUUAGCUGUGAAGACUCAGAAAAGUGGAUGUUUGCUAUGCAAGAAGAGAUGGAAUCACUUCACAAAAACAGAACAUGGGACCUUGUGAAACUUCCUAAAGGUAAAAAGGCUGUUCGUUGUAAAUGGGUGUUUAAAAAGAAAGAAGGGACUCUAGGAGUUGAAGAACCCAGAUAUAAAGCAAGGCUUGUUGCAAAGGGUUACAGUCAAAUUCCAGGAGUGGACUUCACAGAUGUGUUCUCUCCAGUUGUUAAGCAUAGUUCGAUUCGAGCUUUGCUUGGUAUUGUGGACAUGCAUGAUUUGGAGCUUGAGCAGUUAGAUGUAAAAACUGCAUUUCUGCAUGGAGAACUUGAGGAAGAUAUUUACAUGCAACAACCAGAGGGUUUUAUAGUCUUAGAAAAAUAGGACUAUGUUUGCUUGCUGAGAAAGUCCCUUUACGGUUUGAAACAGUCACCAAGACAGUGGUACAAGAGGUUUGAUUCCUUUAUGACUUCUCAUGAUUUCAAAAGAAGUAGUUUAGACAGUUGUGUUUACUUUAAGAAAAACAGUGAUGGUUUUUUUGUGUAUCUACUUCUUUAUGUUGAUGACAUGUUGAUAGCAGCAAAAGAUAAAGAAGAAAUAAGAAAGGUUAAAGCCCAACUAAGUGAAGAAUUUGAGAUGAAAGAUUUAGGACCAGCAAAGAAGAUACUUGGUAUGGAGAUUCUCAUAGAUAGAAAAGCAAGUAAAUUGUACCUAAGUCAGAAGGGGUACAUUGAGAAAGUUCUUUACAGGUUCAGUAUGCAGAGUGCUAAGCCUGCUAGUACUCCUUUAGCAGUCCAUUUCAGACUUUCAUCGGCCUUGUCUCCUCAACCAGAUGAUGAGAUUGAGUACAUGUCACAUGUUCCAUACUCUAGUGCAGUGGGAUCUCUCAUGUAUGCUAUGGUUUGUUCACGUCCAGAUUUAUCAUAUGCAGUCAGUGCAGUUAGCAGAUAUAUGGCAAAUCCCGGUAAAGAACACUGAAAAGCAGUUCAGUGGAUUUUAAGAUACUUACGAGGCACUACUGAUGUUUGCUUACAGUUUGGAAGAACUAAAGAUGGAGUUAUAGGAUAUGUUGAUGCUGAUUUUGCUGGAGACCUUGAUAGAAGAAAAUCUCUCACAGGUUACAUCUUUACAACCGGAGGUUGUGCAAUUAGUUGAAAAGCCACUUUGUAAACUACAGUCGCUUUGUCUACCACUGAAGCUGAGUACAUGGUGAUUACUGAGGCUUGUAAAGAAGCUAUUUGGUUGAAGGGACUAUUUAGUAAACUCAAUGAAGACCUUCAAAUCAGCACAGUAUUUUAUGACAGUCAGAGUGCCAUUUUUCUUACAAAAGAUCAAAUGUUUCAUGAGAGAACAAAACACAUUGGUAUUCGGUAUCAUUUUGUUCGUGAUAUUAUUGCUCGUGGUGAUAUUGUUGUGAGCAAAAUUAGUACUCAUGAAAAUCCUACAGAUAUGAUGACUAAGUCACUUCCUAUAACCAAGUUUGAGCAUUGCUUAGACUUGGUUGGUGUUCAUUGUUGAAGUUAAACCCUUAAGAGGUUUUAUGGAAGAGGUGGAGAACUUGUUUAUUGAAAGUUCGCGAUGAAGAACUUGUUCAUUGAGAAUUUGUGUCAAGGUGGAGAUUGUUAGAAUUAAGUGACUCAAAUUCUUAUUUAAAUAAAAUACGAUGGAAAAUAAAAUAAAAGUAAAAUCCAUAUAGAACUAAACUUCUUUUAUUUUAUUUUAGAAUAAGAUUUUUAAACCUUAUUAAACUCCAUCUAUUUUAUAUUGAUUAGGAUAAGGUGUUUCAAUCCUACUAGAAUAUGGCUUUGCAAGCCUAUAAAUAGACAUAGUCUAUUCCUCUUGUAUUUGAUUCAAAUUUUUCGACAUAGUGAAUUUUCUUCUCCUCUGCCCAUGGUUUUUUCCCGAAAAGGUUUCCACGUAAAAUUUGUGUGUUCUUUAUUUUAUUUUAUUUUAUUUUUUCACAAUUACAUGUAUGAACAAUAAUAUGUGAAAACGACAUGAAAGCCAAUGACGACACGUGAUAUGCAAGACAACACAAGAACUAGGAAUCAAUGAUAUAAACAAUUUAAAGACCAUUAAAUAUAUACAAAGAAAUAACACAAGUAAAAAUUUGAAAUAAUUUGUGUGCAUAUAAAAACUGACAAUGUAUGAAUAAUUAUUAAAAUAUAUAUAUUACGUAAGAAGAAAUUCAAAAUAAUAAUAUGAAACAUAAACAAGUUAAUUUAACUAAUGAUAUAUAUAUGUAUGUAUGUAUGUAUAAAAAUGAAAAAAAGAGUGUAAAUGAUGUAUACCAAGGUACCAAAGUAUUUAAAAUAAAUAAAAUAUAUAAUUUAAAAUAAGAUCCUUUAAAGAGAGCCAAAUUAUACAUAAAUAAACUUAAAAGAGAAUAUAUACAUAUAAUAAAUUUAAAAGAGAACAUUUACAUAAAAUAAUAUGAAAACAAUAAUGUGUAUAGAAUAAAGCUAAUUUCAUAUAAUAACAUAUAAGAGUUUUCAAAUGUAAUAUCAUACAAAAUAAGAUAUAUAUAAAAAAAACUCUAAAAUAAUGUUGUUUUAAAAAAAACAAAAUGGUCAAAGUGAUUUUAUAUAUAUAUAUAUAAAGCUAAAUGAAUUUUAAUAAUAAAAAAAAAGUGAAUCAUGCAAAUAAAACAGAAAACUCAAUUAAAAUGAAGUUAAAAUAAAAGGGAUACUUUAUAAAUAAAUAAAUAAAAACCAUUGGAAUUAGAAAAGGAGGGAAAAAAAACACAAAUGUGUGAGGGUCGAAAAUCAAAUUAUUCCCUAGCUUCAAGACACAUCACUUCAACGCGGACCAAAAUGAGCAAAUGCGCCAGUUUCAGGGAAAAAAAUGAAAAAGGACUAAAGAAAUCUAAAUGAGACUCAAUCAAAAAGCACCAGAACAGGGAGGGACCAAACGCGCAAAUCCCCCAUUCGAAAGCAAAACGUGCGGGUCUGCUCCCUCCCAAACGGUGCUGCUUCAAUGUGUUAUUUAAAAUAAAUAAAAAAACUGUUUUAAAAAUCAUUUUUAUUUUUGCCCCCUUUUUAAAACCCUAAUGCUCUCAAACUCUCCCUAUUUCCCUUUUUCUUUUCAACCGAAUGGCUCUCAAAUACCACCACUCUCGUCACACACGCCGCCGUAGACAAACAACAGAGGGUCGAAGAACCCCUCUUGCGAGGCGAAUCGAGAGGUACUCACCCUUUCCCCUUUUAUUUCGUAUUUUCGGAUUUGAAUGGAAAUGAAAAUAAAGCAAAAGAACAGGAAAAAGAAAAUCAUAAAUACCCACCUUAGAAAUGUUUUCUUGGCUGCUCUUUACUCUCUUUUUUGGUAUAUUUUGAAUUUCAAAAAAAAAAAGAACCCUUUACAAUUAAAAAUCAAAGGCUUUAUAGCCAAAAUACAAGCAGUUUCUGUUGUUUCCUUGUCCAACUUGCACGCCGUGAAGUUGUGGAGAACGAGGGGCGUGGAGUAUGGGCGCAAACAUGGAGCGGGGCACACGAGGAUCGUGCGUGGAGUGUUGACGUGGGGGCUGCGGCGUGGGUGACCUAGGUUUCCCUAGAUUAGCCGAUUAGAUUUAGAUUUUGGGCCAUGGGUAUAGGGCCUAUCUCAUGUAAUUAGGUUAGUUUCAUUUUGGGUUUUGGGUUUGUAUUUGGACAUUUAAUAUUUUGUUUUAUUCUUUGGUUUUUGUAUGUGGAUGGGCUCGGGUCAAAAUUGGGUCUUACAGGCGGCGCGGUGGAUCGCCAAGGAAGCCUAUUGGCCGGAUGUAUAGGGAGACAAAGGGUAGAGGAUGAGAGAAUUCCAAAGUUCUCUCAUUUUUUUUAAACUAAAGGCUGAAAAUGAAAUUUCAAAAAAAAAAGGCUUUUAUAAAACACUGAAACGACAUGGUUUCAUUUGGCCUCCCCAGACGCCAAGACGGUGUCGUUUUGGGAGGCCAACCCGAACCUGACCCGCUCCACAAAAGGGAUCCGUGUGUUUUUUUUAUUUUGGGUUAUUUGCGAAAAUGGGGCUUUCGCUUUUGCUUCGUACUUAGAUUAAGUCCCUCCUUUUUUUUCUUUUUUAAUUCGACCCUUUUAUUUCAUUCCGCAUUCAAUUUAGUCCAUCUAUUCGCAAGUUGGAGUGGCGCACUUAAUGGGGUUUGGGAUAUUUUCUCAAUUAACCCCUUGCAUGUUUUAGUGUGUUUCAAAUCCGUCCUCUGCUUUAUUUUUUUAUCCGAAUUUCCCCUUUGAAUUCUAUUUAGAUUUUAAUUUAAUCCUUUUUAUAUACUUACUUUUAUUUUAUUCGAAUUUGGACCCUAAAAUUUCAUUUUAUUUGCAAUCAAGCCCUUAUUCAUGUAAAUUUGGAC
RNAcentral lists this long non-coding RNA (31935 nucleotides) under Gossypium barbadense (sea-island cotton). RNAcentral's name for it is "long non-coding RNA (GBAR_LNC004448)". Lineage: Eukaryota; Viridiplantae; Streptophyta; Magnoliopsida; Malvales; Malvaceae. The record is from RNAcentral.